Molecule: ribosomal RNA, 420 nt
Filed under: bacterium
Lineage: Bacteria
Description: partial 16S ribosomal RNA
Rfam family: Bacterial small subunit ribosomal RNA
Source: RNAcentral
UGGGGGAUAUUGCACAAUGGGCGAAAGCCUGAUGCAGCGACGCCGCGUGGGGGAUGAAGGCUUUCGGGUUGUAAACCUCUUUCGCUAUCGAACAAGGCCCGCUUAGGGUGGGUUGAGGGUAGGUGGAGAAGAAGCGCCGGCUAACUACGUGCCAGCAGCCGCGGUACUACGUAGGGCGCGAGCGUUGUCCGGAAUUAUUGGGCGUAAAGGGCUUGUAGGCGGCUUGUUGCGCCUGCUGUGAAAACGCGGGGCUUAACUUCGCGCGUGCAGUGGGUACGGGAAGGCUUGGGUGUGGUAGGGGUGACUGGAGUGCCAGGUGUAGCGGUGGAAUGCGCAGAUAUCAGGAGGAGCGCCGAUGGCGAAGGCAGGUCACUGGGCCAUUACUGACGCUGAGGAGCGAAGGCAUGGGUAGCGAAGAAG